RNAcentral lists this ribosomal RNA (207 nucleotides) under uncultured bacterium. RNAcentral describes it as "partial 16S ribosomal RNA". It matches the Rfam family "Bacterial small subunit ribosomal RNA", at positions 568 to 774 of the family's 1533-position model. The record is from RNAcentral.
CUCGUAGGCGGUUCGUCGCGUCCGGUGUGAAAGUCCAUCGCUUAACGGUGGAUCCGCGCCGGGUACGGGCGGGCUUGAGUGCGGUAGGGGAGACUGGAAUUCCCGGUGUAACGGUGGAACGUGUAGAUAUCGGGAAGAACACCAAUGGCGAAGGCAGGUCUCUGGGCCGUUACUGACGCUGAGGAGCGAAAGCGUGGGGAGCGAACA